GUAUUCAUUUCAGUAUCACAUAUAUUCAAAUUGGAGUGGUAUAAAAGAUUAGCCUGGCCCCUGUGCAAGGGUGAGACACAGAUUCAUAAAGUGUUGCUAAAGUGU
Dipodomys ordii (Ord's kangaroo rat) is the source of this 105-nucleotide small nuclear RNA. The record is from Ensembl. Lineage: Eukaryota; Metazoa; Chordata; Mammalia; Rodentia; Heteromyidae.